GGGGGCGGGGGGGUGCCUACCAUGCACGUCGAACGGAGUCAUUAAGGAAAACUCUUCGGAGUCGGAAUUCUUGACCUAUUGGCGGACGGGUGAGUAACGCGUGAGCAAUCUGCCCCUGGAUGUGGGAUAACAGCCGGAAACGGCUGCUAAUACCGCAUAACGCAUUCUGGCCGCAUGACCGGGAUGCCAACCAUUUAUCGUCCAAAGAUGAGCUCGCGUCUGAUUAGCUGGUUGGCGGGGUAACGGCCCACCAAGGCGACGAUCAGUAGCCGGACUGAGAGGUUGAACGGCCACAUUGGGACUGAGACACGGCCCAGACUCCUACGGGAGGCAGCAGUGGGGAAUAUUGCGCAAUGGGGGCAACCCUGACGCAGCAACGCCGCGUGAUUGAAGAAGGCCUUCGGGUUGUAAAGAUCUUUAAACAGGGACGAAGAAAUGACGGUACCUGAAGAAUAAGCUCCGGCUAACUACGUGCCAGCAGCCGCGGUAAUACGUAGGGAGCAAGCGUUAUCCGGAUUUACUGGGUGUAAAGGGCGUGUAGGCGGGCCUGUAAGUCAGAAGUGAAAUCUGGGGGCUUAACCCCCAAACUGCUUUUGAAACUGCGGGUCUUGAGUGAUGGAGAGGCAGGCGGAAUUCCCAGUGUAGCGGUGAAAUGCGUAGAUAUUGGGAGGAACACCAGUGGCGAAGGCGGCCUGCUGGACAUUAACUGACGCUGAGGCGCGAAAGCGUGCGGAGCAAACAGGAUUAAAUACCCUGGUAGUCCCCGCCGUAAACGAUGGAUACUAUGUGUGGGAGGAAUU
Molecule: ribosomal RNA, 800 nt
Filed under: uncultured bacterium
Lineage: Bacteria
Description: bacterial SSU rRNA
Rfam family: Bacterial small subunit ribosomal RNA
Source: RNAcentral